GACGAACGCUGGCGGCGUGCUUAACACAUGCAAGUCGAACGGAAAGGCCCUGCUUGCAGGGUGCUCGAGUGGCGAACGGGUGAGUAACACGUGGGUGAUCUGCCCCUUACUUUGGGAUAAGCCUGGGAAACUGGGUCUAAUACUGGAUAGGACCAUGCUGUAGGUGGUGUGGUGGAAAGAUUAGUUUCGGUAAGGGAUGAGCUCGCGGCCUAUCAGCUUGUUGGUGGGGUAAUGGCCUACCAAGGCGUCGACGGGUAGCCGGCCUGAGAGGGUGGACGGCCACAUUGGGACUGAGAUACGGCCCAGACUCCUACGGGAGGCAGCAGUGGGGAAUAUUGCACAAUGGGCGCAAGCCUGAUGCAGCGACGCCGCGUGGGGGAUGACGGCUUUCGGGUUGUAAACUCCUUUCAGCCAUGACGAAGCCCUUGUGGUGACGGUAGUGGUAGAAGAAGCACCGGCUAACUACGU
This 468-nucleotide ribosomal RNA is filed under the name uncultured bacterium. RNAcentral describes it as "partial 16S ribosomal RNA". It matches the Rfam family "Bacterial small subunit ribosomal RNA", at positions 28 to 506 of the family's 1533-position model. The record is from RNAcentral.